This 707-nucleotide ribosomal RNA is filed under the name Pseudobombax grandiflorum. RNAcentral describes it as "eukaryotic LSU rRNA". The stretch from base 300 to 455 matches the Rfam family "5.8S ribosomal RNA". Lineage: Eukaryota; Viridiplantae; Streptophyta; Magnoliopsida; Malvales; Malvaceae. The record is from RNAcentral.
CUUGACCCUCGGAAUGACCCGUGAACUCGUUAAAAGCACAAACACUGCGGGGGGGUGAGGGUGCGUUUGCACCCCGAGCCCUCUCGCGGCCCUGGCGUGCGCGACCACUACCCGCUGCGCCCCAUCGGCGGGUGGGAUGGCUGGUCUCGUCGCUUGCGGCCGAACAAACGAACCCCCGGCGCGAGUCGCGCCAAGGAACUCGAAAUGAUGAGGAGAGCACGUCGGCUGCCGUCGCCCCGUCCGCGGUGUUCGUACGCGCAGCGGCGUGUCUCCUCCGUCGCGAAAAUAUAUUAUGAAAUGACUCUCGGCAACGGAUAUCUCGGCUCUCGCAUCGAUGAAGAACGUAGCGAAAUGCGAUACUUGGUGUGAAUUGCAGAAUCCCGUGAACCAUCGAGUCUUUGAACGCAAGUUGCGCCCGAAGCCAUUAGGCCGAGGGCACGCCUGCCUGGGUGUCACGCAAWGUCGCCCCCUCCAACCCUAGCCCCUCGGGGCUUCGGAUGAGGCGGGGGCGGAAAAUGGCCUCCCGYGCGCUCCCCGCUCGCGGUUGGCUUAAAAUCGGGUCCUCGGCGACGAUAGCGCCGCGACGAUCGGUGGUGAUGCCUCGUCCCCGGUCGCGUGUGCUUUUGUUCGUCCGAACCCAAUCGAGACCCUUCUCGCAUCGCACGAGGGAUGCUAGCAUCGCGACCCCAGGUCAGGCGGGACUACCC